CAAAGUGUAGCUUAACUUCAAAGCAUCCGGCCUACACCCAGAAGAUUUCACAUUACGUGACCACUUUGA
RNAcentral lists this transfer RNA (69 nucleotides) under Lemur catta (Ring-tailed lemur). RNAcentral describes it as "transfer RNA-Val". Lineage: Eukaryota; Metazoa; Chordata; Mammalia; Primates; Lemuridae. The record is from RNAcentral.